Molecule: ribosomal RNA, 253 nt
Filed under: uncultured bacterium
Lineage: Bacteria
Description: partial 16S ribosomal RNA
Rfam family: Bacterial small subunit ribosomal RNA
Source: RNAcentral
UACGUAGGGUCCGAGCGUUGUCCGGAUUGACUGGGCGUAAAGCGCACGCAGGCGGUUGCGCGCGUGGGGUGUGAAAUCUGGCCGCUUAACGGCCAGGCGCCAUCCCAUACGGCGCGACUGGAGUGAUGCAGAGGUCGAUGGAAUUGCCGGUGUAGUGGUGAAAUGCGUAGAGAUCGGCAGGAACACCCAGGGGGAAACCAGUCGACUGGGCAUCUACUGACGCUGAGGUGCGAGAGCGUGGGGAGCGAACCGG